GAUCCUGGCUCAGGACGAACGCUGGCGGCGCGCCUAACACAUGCAAGUCGAACGGUGAAGAGGAGCUUGCUCCUCGGAUCAGUGGUGGACGGGUGAGUAACACGUGAGCAACCUGGCUCUAAGAGGGGGACAACAGUUAGAAAUGACUGCUAAUACCGCAUAAGCGCACAGUACCACAUGGUACGGUGUGAAAAACUCCGGUGGUAUGAGAUGGACCCGCGUCUGAUUAGCUAG
This 234-nucleotide ribosomal RNA is filed under the name uncultured bacterium. RNAcentral's name for it is "partial 16S ribosomal RNA". It matches the Rfam family "Bacterial small subunit ribosomal RNA", at positions 15 to 248 of the family's 1533-position model. The record is from RNAcentral.